RNAcentral lists this ribosomal RNA (499 nucleotides) under uncultured bacterium. RNAcentral's name for it is "partial 16S ribosomal RNA". It matches the Rfam family "Bacterial small subunit ribosomal RNA", at positions 28 to 507 of the family's 1533-position model. The record is from RNAcentral.
GACGAACGCUGGCGGCGUGCUUAACACAUGCAAGUCGAACGGGCCCGCUCUCUUUUUUGGGGGUGGGUUGAGUGGCGAACGGGUGAGUAUCACGUGAGUAACCUGCCCCCUGCUCCUGGAUAACUGCUUGAAAGGGCGGCUAAUACGGGGUGUGCCGGCUGGUCCGCAUGGGCCUGGUCGGGAUAGUUUCAUCUUCGGGUGUUUCGGUGGGGGAUGGGCUCGCGGCCUAUCAGCUUGUUGGUGGGGUGAUGGCCCACCAAGGCGGUGACGGGUAGCCGGCCUGAGAGGGUGGGCGGCCACACUGGGACUGAGACACGGCCCAGACUGCUGCGGGAGGCAGCAGUGGGGGGUAUUGCACAAUGGGCGGAAGCCUGAUGCAGCGACGUCGCGUGAGGGAUGGAGGCCGUCGGGUGGUGAACCUCUUUCUCCGGUGGUGAAGGCCCUGUCCGUUGCGGCGGGGUUGACGGUAGCCGGGUAUGAAGCGCCGGCUAACUACGUG